This 529-nucleotide ribosomal RNA is filed under the name uncultured bacterium. RNAcentral's name for it is "bacterial SSU rRNA". It matches the Rfam family "Bacterial small subunit ribosomal RNA", at positions 336 to 865 of the family's 1533-position model. The record is from RNAcentral.
CUCCUACGGGAGGCAGCAGUAAGGAAUAUUGGUCAAUGGACGGAAGUCUGAACCAGCCAUGCCGCGUGCAGGAAGACGGCCCUAUGGGUUGUAAACUGCUUUUGCAGGGGAAUAAACCUCAUUACGUGUAAUGAGCUGAAUGUACUCUGAGAAUAAGGAUCGGCUAACUCCGUGCCAGCAGCCGCGGUAAUACGGAGGAUCCAAGCGUUAUCCGGAUUUAUUGGGUUUAAAGGGUGCGUAGGUGGCCUGUUAAGUCAGGGGUGAAAGACGGUAGCUUAACUAUCGCAGUGCCCUUGAUACUGAUGGGCUUGAAUGAACUAGAGGUAGGCGGAAUGUGACAAGUAGCGGUGAAAUGCAUAGAUAUGUCACAGAACACCAAUUGCGAAGGCAGCUUACUAUGGUUUUAUUGACACUGAGGCACGAAAGCGUGGGGAUCAAACAGGAUUAGAUACCCUGGUAGUCCACGCCCUAAACGAUGAAUACUCGAUGUUGGCGAUAUACGGUCAGCGUCUAAGCGAAAGCGUUAAGU